Molecule: long non-coding RNA, 806 nt
Organism: Hemicordylus capensis (graceful crag lizard)
Lineage: Eukaryota; Metazoa; Chordata; Lepidosauria; Squamata; Cordylidae
Exons: 5
Source: RefSeq, a predicted model, not a curated record
CAUCAGCACUCUGACAAUCGCCAUCCCAGCGCACAUGUGGGUGGCUGAUUGGCAUAGAUAUGCACUUCUGUUGAUCAUUUGUGGGGAGGCAGGUAGGAGCCUGCCUCCCUGCUCACCCUCCCCACCACCCGGGAGCCACAGAAGUCAAGUGGAAACCAGACCCUGCUGGUGGCAGAAGAGAUUCAAGAAAUGGGCUCCUGGAGAGGGGGUUUGGCUGAAAGACAGGCAGCAGCCAGAAUUGUAGUCUCCGCAUCCUCAAGUGUGCAUUCGCCACAGUCGUGGUGCACAAAGCCAUGAGGCCCAGCAGACGUUGGAUGGACCAAGCCUGUUGUUUGGGGAAGACUGGAAAGUGAUCACCAUGGAGGAAAUGGCCUGGGUGCAUUCUACAGAUUUGCCAGUGCUGGAGGAUCCAAAGAAGGUGUAGCAGGCUGCAACAGCGAAAGGCGGAGAGGAGACCGGACAGGCAUCAACCCAUGGGAGAUGAUGAUGGGCGAAGGCAACGCCAAACGCACAGGUCUGGAUUAAAAAGAAGAAUCUGCCCCACCUCCCAAACCCACACAUACUAACAAUCAAGGAGCAAGCCUGUGGUAGCAGCAACCAGGAAAAGUAAUGACUUUCCCCCAACCAACCUUGAAUGGCAAGCGCUUCCUAUUCUUCACUUUUCUUUAAAAUCUGACCAUUUAAUAAUCCAUAUACCACCAAAAUCCGUUACUGGAAUCUCACUGAUUGUAAAGCAUUCACACUGCACCCUAUCGAAAGGAAGAGCAGCUCAAACCCAAUAUGGAACCACAUUACCUGCAUAAACU